Molecule: non-coding RNA, 134 nt
Filed under: Anoxybacteroides amylolyticum
Lineage: Bacteria; Bacillati; Bacillota; Bacilli; Caryophanales; Anoxybacillaceae
Description: Anoxybacillus amylolyticus FMN sequence
Rfam family: FMN riboswitch aptamer (RFN element)
About the family: The RFN element is a highly conserved domain that is found frequently in the 5'-untranslated regions of prokaryotic mRNAs that encode for flavin mononucleotide (FMN) biosynthesis and transport proteins. This element is a metabolite-dependent riboswitch that directly binds FMN in the absence of proteins.
Source: Rfam by way of RNAcentral
CAUAUCCUUCGGGGCAGGGUGGAAUUCCCGACCGGCGGUAUUGAAACGAAACGUUUCUCAGCCCGCGAGCCGAACAGGCAUGAUCCGGUGCGAUUCCGGAGCCGACAGUAUAGUCUGGAUGGGAGAAGGAUUGC